GCUUUUUAAAGAUUUAUAUAUUAUAGUAGUAAUAAUACUACUAGAUGUUUUCUAUAGAAAAACAAAAUUUA
This 71-nucleotide transfer RNA is filed under the name Fusarium pseudograminearum CS3220. RNAcentral describes it as "tRNA-Ile". RNAcentral also lists the same sequence under 3 other names. Lineage: Eukaryota; Fungi; Ascomycota; Sordariomycetes; Hypocreales; Nectriaceae. The record is from RNAcentral.